GACGAGUGGUGGAUGGGUGAGUAACGCGUAUGCAACCUUCCUCACACCGAGAAAAAGUCGACUGAAAAGUUGAAUAAAGUCUCGUGAUGUACACGUCCCGCAUGAGAUGUGUAUGAUAGAAGCAAUUUGGUGUGAGAUGGGCAUGCGUAUCAUUAGCUAGUUGGUAGGGUAACGGCUUACCAAGGCGACGAUGAUUAGGGGGCCUGAGAGGGUGGUCCCCCACACUGGGACUGAGACACGGCCCAGACUCC
Molecule: ribosomal RNA, 251 nt
Filed under: uncultured bacterium
Lineage: Bacteria
Description: partial 16S ribosomal RNA
Rfam family: Bacterial small subunit ribosomal RNA
Source: RNAcentral